GGAAACUUUAGAACUAUUCCAACUCCAAAUGGCUUGUCUGUUAAGGAUUUUGUUUUCUUUAUCAACUCCCGCAUAUAAUCAGGGGAUUCCUACAAAUUUUGACAUACAUAAAUUAAUGACGAACAUUUAAAGGUAGUCUUAGAGAGAUGACUAAAUUAAUUUAGAUUCUAAUCUAACUUAUUAAAAUUAGAGCACACGUUUGAGAAUGUAACAAAACCAGAUACAAUACUAAGGAAAUAUGCAUCGAAGUCACAAUUUUCUAGUUGAAAUACUGACGGUCUAUAAGUUUUGACUGUUCCUUUGAAUUAGGUCUAGAUACAGUAAAGAACAUUGACAGGUAGUCUUAUUAUGGAAUCUAUCCACGAAAAAGGAGAUUUGAGGCAUACAUCAGACUGUCAGCAUUAUCAAUCAUGAAAAUAGAAACUAAUACAAAGCUAACUGGGUAAGAGAGAGGGAGGGAGGGCGACUAAGAGAGAGGAAUAUCACUCUGCAUGAUGAGUAUUACUAUACAAGGAACAACCGCUUGUCAAUGAAAUUCAAAAGUUGCUUUAAACAAAUAAGGUUAGUGGUCAAUUUUCAUGAUCCCUAUUACUGGGUCCAUUAGCGCAAAUUAGAAUUGAUUCAUCAAUAGACGAUAUACUUCACUACUACAAAAGCGCCUAUUAAUAACGGUUAAUACAAAUUGCCGUUUUUAAUAAAGCCUAAUGGAAACACACGAUCAUUUUCCUUCUAUUAGAAACGGUUAGCUGAAAAAUAAAGGAAAAAUAGGCCCAUUGGUAAAUGAAAAUUUUGGGGGGAAGUUAAAUUUCAUUGUGGCGCCUGGUUAAAAAGGGGUAGGGAAAAUUUUGGGGGAAGCUAAAUUUCAUUUUGGGAUCAUGGUGAAAGGAUCAGAAAACUUUUCCAACGAUCCAUUCCUUUCUCUAUCUUAACUUUAUAGCAGAUCUCUUCCUCGUCCAGCGAAACGAUAAUCAACCAGGCAUCAGUGACUUCUAAAUGCUUGAUUGGAGUUCCAGAAUGCACCCUAGCCUCCACCGGCACCAUAAAUACCCUCGAUUGCUUCAGGAAAACCUUCAUCGUCCUCCUCAAUUCGUUCUCUUUACCAAAUUGGAAACGCCAUCGACACGGCCGAGCGAGUCGAUAGAGAAGCCGAGCGCGGGGGUUGCCCUUUGGUUGAUGUUCUCUCCGUGGACACCUUUGCUCCUGUAAUUUCUUCGUUCAUAUUCCUCCCCCUACCUGAUAAAUUUUAAGGUUUUUUUGCACUUUAAUACCCCUAAAGUUUCAUCCUUUUCUAACCUUGGCCCUCAUCUUGGGCUAUGUUGUCACCAACACCUAACAGUAUGUAAGAUAAAAUGUAUAAAAAACUAAUUUCGUUAUCAUCACUUCAUUUUUACAUUUGUAAUUAAUUUUAAAUUGAUAGCAUUGUUUUUCACUCUCAACUAUUUCAGAGGUCAUGACAAUCUCAAAUUCUUUCUUUGUAUUGCACAUGAUGCUAAGGAUGGUGGAUAAAUUCCUUGAAAUGGAUAUACAUGUUGUGCACUCCACUUGUUUGAUGAAAUGCCAAUACGUGAUUUAUUGGCCUAGAAUAUUGGAGUAUCUCCUCAAGUUUAAGUAUUGAGAGUUGAUACUUUUUUCUAUAAUUAACACCUUAAUUGUUACUAGCAUAAUCCUUUACUUGAUAUCAUGCGAAAAGACUAAAAUUGGUUGUGGAGAUUAUGAGAUUCUCAACAACAAAGUUAUCAAUUAUGUUAACCAAAGGUAUGAACUUUUUGGUAUCCUUUUCUUACUGUUUCUGAUCAUAAACUUUUUUGUGGGAAGUCUAAAU
Molecule: long non-coding RNA, 1822 nt
Organism: Asparagus officinalis (garden asparagus)
Lineage: Eukaryota; Viridiplantae; Streptophyta; Magnoliopsida; Asparagales; Asparagaceae
Exons: 3
Source: RefSeq, a predicted model, not a curated record